Molecule: ribosomal RNA, 397 nt
Filed under: uncultured bacterium
Lineage: Bacteria
Description: partial 16S ribosomal RNA
Rfam family: Bacterial small subunit ribosomal RNA
Source: RNAcentral
AUACGUAGGGGGCGAGCGUUGUCCGGAAUGAUUGGGCGUAAAGGGCGCGUAGGCGGCGCGGUAAGUCUGGAGUGAAAGUCCUGCUUUCAAGGUGGGAAUUGCUUUGGAUACUGCCGCGCUUGAGUGCAGGAGAGGUUAUCGGAAUUCCCGGUGUAGCGGUGAAAUGCGUAGAGAUCGGGAGGAACACCAGUGGCGAAGGCGGGUAACUGGACUGCAACUGACGCUGAGGCGCGAAAGUGUGGGGAGCAAACAGGAUUAGAUACCCUGGUAGUCCACACUGUAAACGAUGAAUGCUAGGUGUAAGAGGUAUCGACCCCUUUUGUGCCGCAGUAAACACAAUAAGCAUUCCGCCUGGGGAGUACGGUCGCAAGAUUAAAACUCAAAUGAAUUGACGGGG